RNAcentral lists this ribosomal RNA (119 nucleotides) under Pteropus alecto (black flying fox). The record is from RNAcentral. Lineage: Eukaryota; Metazoa; Chordata; Mammalia; Chiroptera; Pteropodidae.
AUCUACGGCCAUGCCACCCUGAACAAGACCUAUCCUGUCUGAUCUUGGAAGCUAAGCAGGGUCAGGCCUGGUUAGUACUUGGAUGGGCGAGCACAUAGGAAAACCACGUACUGUAGGCU